GGCUGCGUAGCUCAACUGGAUAGAGUACCUGACUACGAAUCAGGCGGUUGCAGGUUCGAAUCCUGCCGCGGUCA
Molecule: transfer RNA, 74 nt
Filed under: Saprospiraceae bacterium
Lineage: Bacteria; Pseudomonadati; Bacteroidota; Saprospiria; Saprospirales; Saprospiraceae
Description: tRNA-Arg
Rfam family: tRNA
About the family: Transfer RNA (tRNA) molecules are approximately 80 nucleotides in length. Their secondary structure includes four short double-helical elements and three loops (D, anti-codon, and T loops). Further hydrogen bonds mediate the characteristic L-shaped molecular structure. tRNAs have two regions of fundamental functional importance: the anti-codon, which is responsible for specific mRNA codon recognition, and the 3' end, to which the tRNAs corresponding amino acid is attached (by aminoacyl-tRNA synthetases). tRNAs cope with the degeneracy of the genetic code in two manners: having more than one tRNA (with a specific anti-codon) for a particular amino acid; and 'wobble' base-pairing, i.e. permitting non-standard base-pairing at the 3rd anti-codon position.
Source: RNAcentral